UCCUGAUGGCUCAGCUGGUAAAGAACCUGCCUGCAAGGCAGGAGACCUGGGUUCGAUCCCUAGGUUGGGAA
This 71-nucleotide transfer RNA is filed under the name Bos taurus (domestic cattle). It matches the Rfam family "tRNA". Rfam says of the family: Transfer RNA (tRNA) molecules are approximately 80 nucleotides in length. Their secondary structure includes four short double-helical elements and three loops (D, anti-codon, and T loops). The record is from Rfam by way of RNAcentral. Lineage: Eukaryota; Metazoa; Chordata; Mammalia; Artiodactyla; Bovidae.